CGCCGGAUCGGUUGAACUAAGCCAUGCGAGUCAUUGUAGUAAUACAAGGCAGACGGCUCAGUAACGCGUAGUCAACCUAACCUAUGGACGGGAAUAACCUCGGGAAACUGAGUAUAAUGCCCGAUAGAACAUUAUGCCUGGAAUGGUUUAUGUUCCAAAUGAUUUAUCGCCGUAGGAUGGGACUGCGGCCUAUCAGUUUGUUGGUGAGGUAAUGGCCCACCAAGACUAUUACAGGUACGGGCUCUGAGAGGAGUAGCCCGGAGAUGGGUACUGAGACACGGACCCAGGCCCUAUGGGGCGCAGCAGGCGAGGAGACUUUGCAAUGUGCGAAAGCACGACAAGGUUAAUCCGAGUGGUUUCUGCUAAAGGAACCUUUUGUCGGUCCUAGAAACACUGAUGAAUAAGGGGUGGGCAAGUUCUGGUGUCAGCCGCCGCGGUAAAACCAGCACCUCAAGUGGUCAGGAUGAUUAUUGGGCCUAAAGCAUCCGUAGCCGGCUCUGUUAGUUUUCGGUUAAAUCUGUACGCUCAACGUACAGGCUGCCGGGAAUACUGCAGAGCUAGGGAGUGGGAGAGGUAGACGGUACUCGGUAGGAAGGGGUAAAAUCCUUUGAUCUAUUGAUGACCACCUGUGGCGAAGGCGGUCUACCAGAACACGUCCGACGGUGAGGGAUGAAAGCUGGGGGAGCAAACCGGAUUAGAUACCCGGGUAGUCCCAGCUGUAAACUAUGCAAACUCAGUGAUGCAUUGGCUUGUGGCCAAUGCAGUGCUGCAGGGAAGCCCGUUAGUUUGCCGCCUGGGGAGUACGUACGCCAGUAUGAAACUCAAAGGGAUUGACGGAAU
Molecule: ribosomal RNA, 840 nt
Filed under: uncultured crenarchaeote
Lineage: Archaea; Thermoproteati; Thermoproteota
Description: bacterial SSU rRNA
Rfam family: Archaeal small subunit ribosomal RNA
Source: RNAcentral